UGCCGGUGACAAACCGGAGGAAGGUGGGGAUGACGUCAAAUCAUCAUGCCCCUUAUGAUUUGGGCUACACACGUGCUACAAUGGACAAUACAAAGGGCAGCGAAACCGCGAGGUCAAGCAAAUCCCAUAAAGUUGUUCUCAGUUCGGAUUGUAGUCUGCAACUCGACUACAUGAAGCUGGAAUCGCUAGUAAUCGUAGAUCAGCAUGCUACGGUGAAUACGUUCCCGGGUCUUGUACACACCGCCCGUCACACCACGAGAGUUUGUAACACCCGAAGCCGGUGGAGUAACCAUUUGGAGCUAGCCGUCGAAGGUGGGACAAAUGAUUGGGGUGAAGUCGUAACAAGGUAGCCGUAUCGGAAGGUGCGGCUGGAUCACCUCCUUUCUAAGGA
Molecule: ribosomal RNA, 391 nt
Filed under: Staphylococcus sp. HMSC074B09
Lineage: Bacteria; Bacillati; Bacillota; Bacilli; Caryophanales; Staphylococcaceae
Description: bacterial SSU rRNA
Rfam family: Bacterial small subunit ribosomal RNA
Source: RNAcentral